CGCUCCUCCCACCCACAGGCCCAUUCCACUUCCACUUCCGCUUCCGCUUCCGGAGAGAAGAGCCAAGGUGGGUUUAGAAAAGGGCCAGAGCUGUAACCUUAGGCCUGGACAAAGGCCACUCAGGCUGCUGCUGAAGGGCAGGGUUCUGAUGCCAUCCCAACUCCAAAGAGGAGGGAGUGAGCUCGGGUCCUUGGCAGACGCAUUAUUCAUGCCUCCGGUCCCCUCUGUCAGGCCAAUCCAGACUUGACAAAGAUAAAAGGCGCGGCACACGCGUCACUGCACCGUUCGCACCGGCUGCCUUUCCAACAUUUACAGCGUUCACUCACAAGCAGGAGCAUGCUGGUCUGUGUAUUAAUUGCUAUUUAGUAGAGACAGAAUUUGAGGACCCUCAUCUGGGCUUCUGGAUCCUCAGUUACUUGGUGUUCAAUACCUGCUUACUUCUUACUGCUCCUGCCCUGGGAAGGUCAUGGUCACUGUACAGUCCUAUUUAGAUGGAGUCCUAUGAAGAACCAGCAUAAUCAUGGCCUAACUGGAGAGGUGACUUGGACUCACAGAGAAAUAGAAUCAUUUGGUGUGGUUUUCUUGAUGAAAGGACUUGUAAAUGGCUAUUUAAAAAACUCAAGCAAGGCUCAUUCUUGGAUUAAUAUCAAAUAAAUCUUGUGAUUAUAAUUCACCUACAAAGAAAUCAGCUAUCCUUUAAAAGUUCAAACAUAGACAGUAAAAUAAGAAUAAUCAUGUCAUUAGGCUUCAAUUAGAAAAUGUCUCAGGGCAUGGGUUUGUCCACCCACUAGGGUAAUAAGAGCUUUCCUUUCUCAUUUCUAUGUAGUGUGAUUUAGGUAGCACCUAGAAAGCCCCACACAUCCACAAUAUUUUACUGCCCUAGAUAACAAUGUGCCCAGGUUUAUUUAGGAAGGUGUGUUGGGUGAUUUUAUAUGCAAACUUGGCUGGAUCGUAAGUUGCCCAGAUAUUUGGUCAGGCAUUACUCAGGACGUUGCUGUGAGGGUGUUUGUGGAUGAGAUUAACAAUUAAAUCUGAAGACUGAGGAAAGCCAGCUGGCCUCCCCAGUGUGAAUUGGACUCAUCCAAUCAGUCAAAGGCCCAAAGAGAAUGGGGGUUGGGGAGAAGAAGAGAGAGAAAGAGACA
RNAcentral lists this long non-coding RNA (1142 nucleotides) under Fukomys damarensis (Damara mole-rat). RNAcentral's name for it is "lncRNA (ENSFDAG00000030551.1)". Lineage: Eukaryota; Metazoa; Chordata; Mammalia; Rodentia; Bathyergidae. The record is from RNAcentral.